AUGCGACUUGCCAAGUUUGCAACUCAUGGAUCUGUCCAGCAACUCUUUCAGUGGUGUAGUUCCGUACUCGAGGAUAACUAUAUAGACCUAGCCAAUAAUCAUUUCAUAGGAACCUUUCCUUUGGGUCUUGAGAAAUGUAGAAACCUGAUCACUCUAGAUCUUGGAGAUAACAAUUUCUCAGGUACAAUACCGUCUUGGAUAAGCAGGAGCUUGCCUGGACUCAAAUUUCUCCGUCUGUCAUCAAACAAGUUUGAAGGUGCCAUACCCCUCCAGAUAUUACACUUUCACAAACUCCAACUAUUGGACUUGACAAAAAACAAACUCACUGGACCCGUUCCAGAUGAUUUUACGAAUUUUACUGGCAUGGCACAUGAACAGAAAUACACUAACUAUAUAGAUGCUGGCUACAACUCGCAUCCGCAAAUUCAAAUAGUUUGGAAGAAUGUCAAUUAUGUUUACAUUAUUGUGGUAGCAGGCAUGGUGGGUAUCGACUUAUCUGGAAACUUUCUUUCACAAGGUAUCCCUAAUGGGCUUACAACCCUUCUUGGACUCAGGUACCUGAACUUAUCUAGAAAUCAUCUGUCAGGUUUCAUUCCUGAAGACAUUGGCAAUCUAGUAUUGCUGGAAUCCUUGGACCUUUCAGGUAACCAACUCUCGGGGAAAAUUCCUGCAAGCUUUGCGGGUCUGAGGAGCAUGACCGUGCUGAACCUCUUGAGCAACACUCUAUCAGGGAGGAUACCUACAGGCAACCAGCUGCAGACGCUUGAUGACCCGUCAAUACACAGCAACAAUUCUGGGCUGUGUGGAUUCCCGUUGAAGGAGUGUGUAAACUCGUCGACACCGACGCAAAAUGAAGCAAGCCAGGAUGAAGAUAGAGAGGCAUUGUGGUUGUAUUGCUUUGUGGCUGCUGGGUUCAUCUUUGGGUUCUGGCUGUACUGGGGCAUCUUCUUAUUUCGCAGCGGGACCUGGAGAUGUGCUUUCUAUCAGUAUGUGGACAACAUGCAAGUAAAGGUAAUCAAGAAGAUGUACAGCUGCAUGUCGCGCUUCCAGGCAAGCAGCUCUGAAGGAUGA
This 1071-nucleotide ribosomal RNA is filed under the name Triticum aestivum (bread wheat). RNAcentral describes it as "partial small subunit ribosomal RNA". Lineage: Eukaryota; Viridiplantae; Streptophyta; Magnoliopsida; Poales; Poaceae. The record is from RNAcentral.